RNAcentral lists this unclassified non-coding RNA (2307 nucleotides) under Hevea brasiliensis (rubber tree). Lineage: Eukaryota; Viridiplantae; Streptophyta; Magnoliopsida; Malpighiales; Euphorbiaceae. The record is from RNAcentral.
AAAAUGUUGUCUUCGCUAUUAACGCUGUCUUCGGCCAUUUCCCGCCUAAAUAGUCGCCCGAAACCUUCACUCCAUUAUGCUUUAUCAUCUUUCAAAACCCCAAAAUCCCACAAGCAACAAAUAAGACCCAAUUGGUCACCUCGCACUUCCUUACUCUAUUCUCUAUCUGCUCAUUUUUCCUCUUCGGAGAAUUCCAGUUCCCCCAUAACCCAGAUGCAAACUAUUGUCUCUAAAGAUGAUUUGGUUGUUCUCGGCAUCGAAACUAGCUGCGAUGAUACCGCAGCCGCUGUUGUAUGCAAUUUAGUUUUUUUGUUCGUUUUUCACCUGGGUAUCUGUAAUUUUCUAAUAAUAUUGAUGGGCUGGUUGUUUUGUGUGGUUUCAGGUGAGAGGUAAUGGUGAAAUUCUGAGUCAGGUGGUGUCUUCUCAGGUAGAUAGUAUAUAUACUGAAGUUCAGCUUGGUAAUUUGUUUCUUUCGCUUGUAGUGCAUGUCAUUAGCUCAUUAUAAGCUUUCACUAAAGGCAGACCUGCUUGAACGAUAUGGAGGCGUUGCUCCUAAAAUGGCAGAAGAAGCACACUUGCAAGUGAUUGAUCAGGUUGUACAGGAAGCGCUUGAUAAAGCUAAUUUAACUGCGAGGGAUCUCUCUGCAGUUGCUGUAACCAUUGGUCCUGGUUUAAGCCUUUGUCUUCGUGGUAAGCUUGAGUAAUUUAUCUUUCUUUUUCUUUUUGAACAAGCCAACAAUAAAUUCUUAUUCCCAAUUUACGGUCUUCUUGACUCUGGUCAAAAGUCCAUUUAGGGGAGAUUUUACUUGUGCUUAAAGAGUCGUAUAUCCAACCUGCAUGCUCAACCUUUACACUCCAUGCAUUAUACAGUGUACAGAUAGACAUAUUUUGCCCAGAAAACAUGUACACACUAACUUUGGACAACUGGGUUUCUUCAUGUUACCAAGACCAGCCAUGUAGCUCAACUUCUUAGCUGUAUUGUAAGGUGUGCGCUGGAUACUUGCCUUUAUAUUAUGGAAAGAAAAAAAAAAAGGGAAGGUUACAUUAACCUGUCUUAAUUCAUGCUACUUUGUGUGUUGAAGUGAAACAUUAUUGUUUAGUGAAAAGUAAAUGCUCCUUUGGGAUUUUUUUUUGUACAUUUGUAAUGCAGUUGGUGUGCAGAAAGCUCAUAAACUUGCCAGCAGCUUCAAUCUACCAAUCAUCAGUAUCCAUCAUAUGGAGGCUCAUGCUCUAGUAGCCAGGUAUGGAAGUAACAAGACCUACAAAUUGCAGAAUAAAGAAUAGCUGCACCCUGGUGUAGAAAAACAUAGAAUAGAAUUCACUAAAAAUAGUACAAAAAGCUUAUUUCUGUAUGUUAUUCUUUAAAAAGGCUGAUAUAUUCUUUCGGCCAUCCUAAGCUAUUGGAUUGAUGUGUUAUUUAAAAUGCUUAUCUGUGUCUGUGCAUACCUUUCUUGUUCUAGGUUAAUUGAACAAGAGUUGCAUUUUCCUUUUAUGGCCCUGCUUAUUUCUGGUAAGCAGAUAUGCUUCUGCCUAUUUACAUGUUCUUAUCUUUUAUUUAGCGAGUUAUGCACGUUCAUGAGAGGAUGGUUGAUGUUCAAAGAUUUUACAUUAUCAAACAUAAACAUGAAAGGCUAAAACAUUGUCAUUCGAAGUCAACGGUGCCUGCAAAAUAGGCCACCUCUGUUCACUUCUUGUAUUUUAACAAGGCAUUAUAUGAAUGACUCAACUAAUUUUAGGAGACAAAAAAUGCCAAUAAAUGAACAUAUUGGCUGGAGAACAUGGAUUCAAGAAACUGUAGUCCUGUGACUUCAAUCAUUUAAAUAUCAAAUAUUGCCUCAAUUCUGAGCAAUCCCUUGUUUGCGUACUUAUGUCAGCAUUGUAAUAUAUAUUUUGAAGACAAACUUAAUGCUGCAAACCAAAUUUAACUUGAUGGUACUUUAGUUAGGUUUCCAUCUCCCUUACCCUCCUGAGGGUUUAGGUUCUUCUUGCUGCACAUGUUUUGAAAAUUUCACUUUGCCUUUGAUUCUCAGGAGGACACAAUCUGCUUAUUCUGGCUCGUGAACUUGGCCAAUAUAUACAACUGGGGACUACUAUAGAUGAUGCAAUUGGUGAGGCAUAUGACAAGACAGCAAAAUGGCUUGGUCUAGAUAUGAGGAGAAGUGGUGGGCCAGCACUUGAGGAACUUGCUCAAGUGGGUGAUGCAGAAUCAAUCAAAUUUUCGACUCCAAUGAAACAACAUAAAGAUUGCAAUUUCUCGUAUGCUGGACUGAAGACUCAAGUGAGACUGGCAAUUGAAUCCAGAAAUAU